GACGAACGCUGGCGGCGUGCUUAACACAUGCAAGUCGAACGGAAAGGCCCUGCUUUUGUGGGGUGCUCGAGUGGCGAACGGGUGAGUAACACGUGAGUAACCUGCCCUUGACUUUGGGAUAACUUCAGGAAACUGGGGCUAAUACCGGAUAGGAGCUCCUGCUGCAUGGUGGGGGUUGGAAAGUUUCGGCGGUUGGGGAUGGACUCGCGGCUUAUCAGCUUGUUGGUGGGGUAGUGGCUUACCAAGGCUUUGACGGGUAGCCGGCCUGAGAGGGUGACCGGCGACAUUGGGACUGAGAUACGGCCCAGAGUCGUACGGGGGGCAGCAGUGGGGAGUAUUGCACAGUGGGCGGAAGCCUGAUGCAGCAACGCCGCGUGCGGGAUGACGGCCUUCGGGUUGUAAACCGCUUUCGCCUGUGACGAAGCGUGAGUGACGGUAAUGGGUGAAGAAGCACCGGCUAACUACGUG
This 468-nucleotide ribosomal RNA is filed under the name uncultured bacterium. Its description in RNAcentral is "partial 16S ribosomal RNA". It matches the Rfam family "Bacterial small subunit ribosomal RNA", at positions 28 to 507 of the family's 1533-position model. The record is from RNAcentral.